Molecule: long non-coding RNA, 689 nt
Filed under: Homo sapiens (human)
Lineage: Eukaryota; Metazoa; Chordata; Mammalia; Primates; Hominidae
Description: HSALNT0125719
Source: RNAcentral
CAAAUUUGGGAAAAUGUUUGCAUUAUUUCUUCAAAUACUUUUUGUGCUGCUCUGUGUUCUCUCCUUCUGAGAUUAGUUGAUAUGUACUGCAAAUCACAGAUAAUUUUUUCCAUCUUUUUUUCCAUGUGUUCUACAGUCUGGAGAAUUUUGUUGACCCAGCAUCAAGUUCACUGAUCUUUUUUGUUGUGUACAAUCUGCUAUUCAGCACAUCCACUUCCAAAGUCAUGUUGCUGAUAUUGAAAUGUCAAUUCCUUGACCUUUGGAUGCACAUGGGAGUCUCAGAGAACAUUCCAAGCAUUUGAAAGCUUUUGCAUGGCAGGAGACAGAGAGAAACCCUGAAAGGAAGACUGAACCACAGGAUUUCUGACCCUCUAGGUAUGAACUGACCAACAAAUCACUGCAUUAGAAUGAAAAAUAAUCAGAAAUGACACUAUUAAGUUGCUUGCCUGAAGUAGGUUGGGAGCUCGGAUCAGAGAUCUGACAAUUACGGCUAUAAAGAAAAUCACAUUUUCUGCUGACACGAAUUUGUGAUGGUGGAAUUCAUACCUGUGUUGCAGCUAAAGCAUUUAGCUCCUAUUAAAAGUUGGAUAUUCUCGGCAGCUGACGGAACAGGAGGAUCUUCAAGAUGUCUAAAUUAAACUUUUCUUUUGCCAGUUAAACUCUUUUCUCUUUAUCUGAUUCCACUGGAG